RNAcentral lists this ribosomal RNA (484 nucleotides) under uncultured bacterium. RNAcentral's name for it is "bacterial SSU rRNA". It matches the Rfam family "Bacterial small subunit ribosomal RNA", at positions 26 to 521 of the family's 1533-position model. The record is from RNAcentral.
AGGACGAACGCUGGCGGCGUGCCUAACACAUGCAAGUCGAGCGAAGCGUACCGGUCAGCUUGCUGACUGGUAUGACUUAGCGGCGAACGGGUGAGUAACACGUGGGUGAUCUGCCUGGGAGACCGGGAUAACAGUUCGAAAGGGCUGCUAAUACCGGAUGAAGCCCGGUAUUCGUUUACCGGGUCAAAGAUUAUAUCGCUUUCAGAUGAGCCCGCGUCCCAUUAGUUAGUUGGUGAGGUAACGGCUCACCAAGGCGGCGAUGGGUAGCCGGUCUGAGAGGAUGGUCGGCCACACUGGAACUGAGACACGGUCCAGACUCCUACGGGAGGCAGCAGUGGGGAAUUUUGCGCAAUGGGGGCAACCCUGACGCAGCGACGCCGCGUGGGUGAAGAAGGCCUUCGGGUUGUAAAGCCCUGUCUAGGGGGAAGAUAGUGACGGUACCCCUGGAGGAAGCCCCGGCUAACUACGUGCCAGCAGCCGCGGU